UACGUAGGCAGCAAGCGUUGUUCGGAGUUACUGGGCGUAAAGAGUGCGUAGGUGGUGCCCUAAGUCUGUUGUGAAAUCUCCCGGCUUAACUGGGAGGGUGCGGUGGAAACUGGGGUGCUUGAGUGUGGGAGAGGUAAGCGGAAUUCCUGGUGUAGCGGUGAAAUGCGUAGAUAUCAGGAGGAACACCGGUGGUGUAGACGGCUUACUGGACCACGACUGACGCUGAGGCACGAAAGCGUGGGUAGCAAACAGG
Molecule: ribosomal RNA, 253 nt
Filed under: uncultured bacterium
Lineage: Bacteria
Description: partial 16S ribosomal RNA
Rfam family: Bacterial small subunit ribosomal RNA
Source: RNAcentral